This is a long non-coding RNA of Protopterus annectens (West African lungfish), 199 nucleotides long. RefSeq lists it as uncharacterized. NCBI's taxonomy places the organism in Eukaryota, Metazoa, Chordata, Ceratodontiformes, Protopteridae. The transcript is spliced from 2 exons. The record is from RefSeq and is a predicted model, not a curated record.
CACCUAAGUGUCAGGUCCCGCUCCCAUCUUCUCUCUUCCGGUCGUCAGGUCCCGCUCCCAUCUUCUCUCUUUCUGAAAGUGCUGCCGCUUGCUAGGUCCCGCCUGUGUGAGUUCCCGCUCACAAACCUUAAACUGACAACGAUGAUGUCAGCACACCUGCGACUGGACUAUUUGGACUCCUUCUUAAAGGAGAAUGUGC